Molecule: Y RNA, 101 nt
Filed under: Microcebus murinus (gray mouse lemur)
Lineage: Eukaryota; Metazoa; Chordata; Mammalia; Primates; Cheirogaleidae
Description: Y RNA (ENSMICG00000045843.1)
Rfam family: Y RNA
About the family: Y RNAs are components of the Ro ribonucleoprotein particle (Ro RNP), in association with Ro60 and La proteins.
Source: Rfam by way of RNAcentral
GGCUGGUCUGAGUGUGGUGGUGUUUACAACUAAUUGAUCACAACAAUUAUAUAUUUCGUUGUUCCCUUUCUAUUCCCACUGCUUCACGUGACUAGCCUUAA